ACUGCUCAGUAACACGUGGACAACCUGCCCUGAGGACUGGAAUAAUCCCGGGAAACUGGGAGUAAUUCCAGAUAUGCCAGGGAACCUGGAAUGGUUUCUGGCAGAAAUGCUCCGGCGCCUCAGGAUGGGUCUGCGGCCUAUCAGGGUAGUAGUGGGUGUAACGUACCCACUAGCCUACGACGGGUACGGGUUGUGAGAGCAAGAGCCCGGAGAUGGAUUCUGAGACAUGAAUCCAGGCCCUACGGGGUGCAGCAGGCGCGAAAACUUUACAAUGCGGGCAACCGCGAUAAGGGGACCUCGAGUGCUGGGUUACAAACCUGGCUGUUGGGCUGCCUAAAAAGCAGUCUAUAGCAAGGGCCGGGCAAGACCGGUGCCAGCCGCCGCGGUAACACCGGCGGCUCGAGUGGUAACCGCUGUUAUUGGGUCUAAAGGGUCUGUAGCCUGCCGGCUAAGUCUCUUGGGAAAUCUGGCAUCUCAAGUGUCAGGCUGCCAGGGGAUACUGGUCAGCUUGGGACCGGGAGAGGUGAGAGGUACCUCAGGGGUAGGGGUGAAAUCUUGUAAUCCUUGAGGGACCACCAGCGGCGAAGGCGUCUCACCAGAACGGAUCCGACGGCAAGGGACGAAAGCUAGGGGCACGAACCGGAUUAGAUACCCGGGUAGUCCUAGCCGUAAACGAUACUCGCUAGGUGUCGGCCACGGUGCGACCGUGGUCGGUGCCGUAGGGAAGCCGUGAAGCGAGCCACCUGGGAAGUACGGCCGCAAGGCUGAAACUUAAAGGAAUUGGCGGGGGAGCAC
Molecule: ribosomal RNA, 795 nt
Filed under: uncultured Methanosaeta sp.
Lineage: Archaea; Methanobacteriati; Methanobacteriota; Methanomicrobia; Methanotrichales; Methanotrichaceae
Description: bacterial SSU rRNA
Rfam family: Archaeal small subunit ribosomal RNA
Source: RNAcentral